RNAcentral lists this small nuclear RNA (315 nucleotides) under Chinchilla lanigera (long-tailed chinchilla). Its description in RNAcentral is "7SK RNA (ENSCLAG00000022064.1)". It matches the Rfam family "7SK RNA". From Rfam's summary of the family: 7SK was discovered as an abundant small nuclear RNA in the mid-70s but a possible function has only recently been suggested. Lineage: Eukaryota; Metazoa; Chordata; Mammalia; Rodentia; Chinchillidae. The record is from Rfam by way of RNAcentral.
GGAUGCGAGGGUGACCUAGCUGCGACAUCUGUCACCCCAUUGAUCGCCAGAGUUGACUCAGCUGAUUUGGCUGGCCAGCAGGGUCUCCUCUCCCCCUCCUCACUCCAUGUGUAUCCCUCCUGAAGGUUCAAGCUCUGUGGAAGAGGAUGACCACCCCCUCCACAGAGGAGCACUGUUCUCUGUCAAAGAUACAGGAGUAGCUGUGCUCUCCAGCUAAAACCUCCAAACAAGCUGAAAAUACAAUUUAAAAGUACAUAAACAGGCCAGGCAUGGUGGCGCAUGCCUGUAAUCCCAGCAUGCAGGAGGCUGAGGCAG